This 21-nucleotide unclassified non-coding RNA is filed under the name Chlamydomonas reinhardtii. Its description in RNAcentral is "small RNA Cre_2968". Lineage: Eukaryota; Viridiplantae; Chlorophyta; Chlorophyceae; Chlamydomonadales; Chlamydomonadaceae. The record is from RNAcentral.
UGAUGGCGGUGGCGUUCGUGC